This 370-nucleotide ribosomal RNA is filed under the name Bacillus subtilis. RNAcentral's name for it is "bacterial SSU rRNA". It matches the Rfam family "Bacterial small subunit ribosomal RNA", at positions 853 to 1224 of the family's 1533-position model. The record is from RNAcentral. Lineage: Bacteria; Bacillati; Bacillota; Bacilli; Caryophanales; Bacillaceae.
UAACGCAUUAAGCACUCCGCCUGGGGAGUACGGUCGCAAGACUGAAACUCAAAGGAAUUGACGGGGGCCCGCACAAGCGGUGGAGCAUGUGGUUUAAUUCGAAGCAACGCGAAGAACCUUACCAGGUCUUGACAUCCUCUGACAAUCCUAGAGAUAGGACGUCCCCUUCGGGGGCAGAGUGACAGGUGGUGCAUGGUUGUCGUCAGCUCGUGUCGUGAGAUGUUGGGUUAAGUCCCGCAACGAGCGCAACCCUUGAUCUUAGUUGCCAUCAUUCAGUUGGGCACUCUAAGGUGACUGCCGGUGACAAACCGGAGGAAGGUGGGGAUGACGUCAAAUCAUCAUGCCCCUUAUGACCUGGGCUACACACGUG